RNAcentral lists this long non-coding RNA (687 nucleotides) under Homo sapiens (human). Its description in RNAcentral is "long non-coding RNA NONHSAT156992.1". The record is from RNAcentral. Lineage: Eukaryota; Metazoa; Chordata; Mammalia; Primates; Hominidae.
AUGCAGAGCAAACAGGGAGCUAAUGGAAGCACUCAGGAUGAUAGAAUUCUAACUUCAUGAAAACAUGUUUGAUUGUGGGUCCCAGUAAAGAUGUCCCAGUUCUCGGCCAGAAUCUUUUCUGAAGACUGAGCUGGAGGAGGUACCCGUUCUGGAAUGGUCUCAAAUGCAACCUGCAGGUUUGGCCCCCUGGAGGAAGUGAGAAGAAUGGAGAUGAACACGUUUCUUGUGUCAUGUCCUCAUUCUGCCCAAGACACACCUACCCGGACCAUGCCGUCUUGACUCCCGGUGAUGAUGAUCUGGCUUGUGUCCCAUGCUGGGCCCUCCAUCAGGCAGCAGCAGGUUAUGGCUCCUUCUGGGCCCCAGGCUGUGGUGAUGCUGGCCAGGGGCUGUCCAUUGACAUUCCACAGGGACAAGUGUGCUCCCGCACAGGAGACAAUGGUGCCCUGUGCAGUGAGAGCUGGCAUCACUCUAAGCUGGAGUCACUGCCUGCCCAUCAGCCACUUGCUCAGCUACCCAGUUGGUACACCCAAGUACUCUCAAUCUGUCAUGCUCUGAAGACCCCCAAGGUACCCCAAAACUUCUUUCCAGCUGACUUACAGGUCUGCUGUGUUUUCACACAGUUGUAAAUUCUUGGUUCUUUUCAUACUGCAGUCAUGUGCUUAGAUACUUCUUUCCUGGCAGAAGGCA